UAGUGAGUUUGAUCCUGGCUCAGGAUGAACGCUGGCGGCAUGCCUAACACAUGCAAGUCGAACGAAGCCUUCGGGCUUAGUGGCGCACGGGUGCGUAACGCGUGGGAAUCUGCCCUUGGGUUCGGAAUAACAGUUAGAAAUGACUGCUAAUACCGGAUGAUGUCUUCGGACCAAAGAUUUUAUCGGCCAAAGGACGAGCCCGCGUAGGAUUAGCUUGUUGGUAGGGU
RNAcentral lists this ribosomal RNA (227 nucleotides) under uncultured Sphingomonadaceae bacterium. Its description in RNAcentral is "partial 16S ribosomal RNA". It matches the Rfam family "Bacterial small subunit ribosomal RNA", at positions 1 to 258 of the family's 1533-position model. Lineage: Bacteria; Pseudomonadati; Pseudomonadota; Alphaproteobacteria; Sphingomonadales; Sphingomonadaceae. The record is from RNAcentral.